RNAcentral lists this ribosomal RNA (253 nucleotides) under uncultured bacterium. RNAcentral's name for it is "partial 16S ribosomal RNA". It matches the Rfam family "Bacterial small subunit ribosomal RNA", at positions 524 to 776 of the family's 1533-position model. The record is from RNAcentral.
UACAGAGAGUGCAAACGUUGUUCGGAAUUACUGGGCUUAAAGCGCACGUAGGCGGUGUCGUAAGUGUCAGGUGAAAUCCCACGGCUCACCCGUGGAACUGCCUGGCAUACUGCGAUACUCGAGUGUGGUAGGGGAGAGCGGAACUCCUGGUGGAGCGGUGAAAUGCGCAGAUAUCAGGAGGAACACCGGUGGCGAAGGCGGGACUCUGGGCCGAUAUUGACGCUGAGGAGCGAAAGCGUGGGGAGCGAACAGG